Molecule: unclassified non-coding RNA, 2248 nt
Filed under: Hevea brasiliensis (rubber tree)
Lineage: Eukaryota; Viridiplantae; Streptophyta; Magnoliopsida; Malpighiales; Euphorbiaceae
Source: RNAcentral
GGAAUUCAAGUUUUGUUUUGGAAAAUUUCGUAAUUUUUAUUAUACACAAUGCAGAACACGCCACUUCCCAUAAAUUCCGACAAAAUCGGCUCCUUUUAAAUACCUGCUCAACUCCCGAUCCCUCCUCUUGUCUAUUGUUUUUACGAAAAAUCCCUCUUCCUUCGGGGCGAUAAUCCUAAAUUUCGUUCAAAUUCUCUAGCGAGUUGCUUCUCAUCCGUUCAAUCUAUCACCUGAGAAAUCAGCUUUUUCCCUCACUUUCUGGCAUCUCAUCAUAAUUCUCGAGGUUUAAUCAAUCCUUCUACGACAGAAUCAUGAAUCCUGAAUACGAUUAUUUGUUCAAGCUUUUGCUAAUUGGGGAUUCAGGAGUCGGCAAAUCUUGUCUACUUCUGAGGUUUGCUGUAAGUUUCUGUCAAUUGUCAUGUAAUCUAUGUUUAUUUUUGUUUUUUUCUCUUGAUAACUUUCUUAUCCAUGAUAUUUGCAUAGAAGAUUGGAGCGGAGUGAUAGUUAAUUAGUCAUAGCUUGGUUUGGUGAUGCUUUUAUUUUUGAAGCUUAACUUAUUUGAGAAAACCAUGAAUUUGAGUUUACAAUAAAUAAUUGAGGUUGCUGGUUAUUGAAUGAAAUGGUUAGUAGUAAAGAUGAUUCAACAUACUUUCUGAUUAUACUCAUUAUGGUUUUGGUAAUAAGGAUGAUUCAUAUCUGGAGAGCUACAUCAGUACCAUUGGAGUUGACUUUGUAAGUAAUUGUUAUAUACAUUUUUGACUUUGCCAUUUCAUUUCAUGUUACCUGCAUAAUUGAUUUUUUUUGUAUUGUCCUGCAUUGUGUAGAAAAUCCGCACUGUGGAGCAGGAUGGGAAAACUAUUAAACUCCAAAUUGUGAGUUAUCAAGUUAUUUUGUUACAAGUUAUUUUGUUCAAAUCUGCUAUGUUUUUCUUAGUUUUAAGUCUCAGCAUCUAGGUUGGUUUGAUGGCAAUAAUGAUUUGAAAUUCCAGUGUCCAUAUAGUAUAUAACAUAUAAUGUUUUCUUUUGGGGAAUGGAGGAGUGAUUAUGAGAAUUUCUUUAUUGAUAAUGUAAAUGUUAGUUAUUUGAAAUGCCUUUGGUUGACCUUUCCCAGAAUAAUAUGGUGCAUUAGUAAGUUAAUGUGCCAGAAGUUUCCUAAACUCUCCUAUGUUAAACAUGCAGUGGGACACAGCAGGGCAAGAACGUUUUAGGACAAUUACAAGCAGCUACUAUAGAGGAGCCCACGGUAUUAUUGUUGUUUAUGAUGUCACGGACCAAGAGAGCUUCAACAAUGUCAAACAAUGGUUGAGUGAAAUUGAUCGCUAUGCAAGUGAAAACGUGAAUAAGCUACUUGUUGGUAACAAGAGUGACCUCACAGCAAACAAAGUUGUCUCUUAUGAGACUGCAAAGGCAUUUGCUGAUGAAAUUGGCAUCCCUUUCAUGGAGACAAGUGCUAAAAACGCCACAAAUGUUGAGCAGGCUUUCAUGGCCAUGGCUGCUGAAAUCAAGAAUAGGUGCUCUUAACAUUCUUUUUUAUGUUAUAUGGUUUGAAGACAGUGAAAUUGAGACGCAUAUUUACGAGUUUGGAGCACUGAUCAUACAAAUUGAGUCACAUUUUUACUAGUUUGAAGCGCUCACACAUCACAUGUUCCUCCUAUGAUGAUUUUUUUUUUUUUUAGCUAGUUGUGUUGCUGAUGUAGUUUUAAUUAAUGUUCAUGUUUUAGAAUAUUAAUUCUUUAAUCCCGUUGCAUUGAUUCUUGUUUUCAGGAUGGCAAGCCAACCGGCAAUGAACAAUGCAAGGCCCCCAACUGUGCAGAUUCGAGGACAGCCUGUCAAUCAGAAGUCUGGUUGCUGCUCUUCUUAAAGGGGAAUAUGUUUUAGUGGGCUUAUGAUAUUAACCAUGUUCUUUGCGGCAUGUAAAACUAGUUCUUUUUUAAUGCUUAGAUAAGAAAUUUAUUUGUUGUGGUUUUUGUUCUUCUCAGUUGUUCAACACUGUUAAAACCUCCAUUCUUUUAAAUGUAAUUUUAUUUUAAGAAACAUGUGUACAGAUUAGGAAUAUUGGUGAAUACCAGUAUCUACCUUAUUCUGUUCGUCUUCUGCUUCUUCCACAUGUUAUGAUGCAUUGUCGUUUAUUCUUCUGCCUUACGUGCGUAUCUUGUCAAUGCACCAGACGUUAUAAAGUUCGUUUGCCUGAUUAUAAAAGAAACUGUGGAAAUUUAGUAGCACAUACAGAAUCUAAGUGGAGCCCCGGC